CUCUCUCUCUCUCUCUAAAACGAAGAACAUGCAAACCAGAAACCAGUUUCCCCGAUCUCGAUCCGUCUGAUUUGAUGAAAGAAACUGCUCUUUCACCACAGUAAUCUUCAGAUCAAUCGAAAUUAGUCACAAUCGUCGAGUUUGGGUAAUCAAAUCGGACUGAUCCAACCUCAAAUCAGAGAGAGUGUUGAUGAGAAUCAGAGUGUUUGGUGAAACAAUCCUCAAAUCUCCUUCUGGUACGAUUAUCUCUAUUUUUUUUUUGUAUAGCUUCAUGAAUUAGGGUUAUUAAGGUGUGAUUGGGAUUUGGCGUCAUGAAUUAGGGUUUUCGAAUUGGGAUUUGUAGUCAGAAAAUUAGGGUUCAUCAAUGUUAGCGCAAUUAGGGGUUUUAUAAUCAAUAAAUAGUUUUUUCUUCGUUUUUAUUGAUGAUUGAAAUCGAUUUUGGUUGUGUGUUAGUCUAGAAGUAAAGAUUUCGUUUCUCUGUUUUGGUUGCGAAGUUGAAUAAGUUUUGUUUGUCUUAUUGAAAUCGUUUCUGCGGUGUUUCUGUCAUGUAAUUUAUGUAAGUUUUGGUUGUCUGAUUGAAAACUUGGCUACCUUUGUCAAUCGUUUAUGUUAUACUUGAGUAUGUAUUUGUGAGGUUAAUUGAACUGUUCUGUUCUUCAACUAUAUACUUGAAUUGUUCUUGAACUGCAUGAAUUUGAUCAUAUAUGUCUUGUGUGUGUAUUUGUGAGGUUAAUUGGUGAGGCAUCGAAGCAAGAUAUAAUUCAAUGGAGAAGCUAAACAUGGAACAUUCCACCAAUGAAGGAAGCUUGCAUACAUUGAUGUCUUGUUGGGAAGAAGCUUGAAAUGAAGUGUUGUGACAUGAAGUGUUGGGAAACAAGUUUUGUGAUGCUAGAGUCAAGUUAGUUUUUGUAAUAAUUGAGUGACUAUCAAGCUAUGUAUAAUACACAUAUUUUAAAAUUUCAAAUUUUUAGAAUCUCUUAACAGCUUUACCAUUGGACUUCAUAAAAAUUAUGUACUUUUCUAAGUU
Long non-coding RNA from Capsella rubella, 1027 nucleotides. RefSeq lists it as uncharacterized. The record is from RefSeq and is a predicted model, not a curated record. Lineage: Eukaryota; Viridiplantae; Streptophyta; Magnoliopsida; Brassicales; Brassicaceae. The transcript has 2 exons.